Molecule: ribosomal RNA, 465 nt
Filed under: uncultured bacterium
Lineage: Bacteria
Description: partial 16S ribosomal RNA
Rfam family: Bacterial small subunit ribosomal RNA
Source: RNAcentral
GACGAACGCUGGCGGCGUGCUUAACACAUGCAAGUCGUACGGUAAGGCCCUUUCGGGGGUACACGAGUGGCGAACGGGGGAGUAACACGUGAGUAACCUGCCCACAACUUUGGGAUAACGCUAGGAAACUGGUGCUAAUACUGGAUAUGUGCUCCUGCUGCAUGGUGGGGGUUGGAAAGCUCCGGCGGUUGUGGAUGGACUCGCGGCCUAUCAGCUUGUUGGUGGGGUAGUGGCCUACCAAGGCGGCGACGGGUAGCCGGCCUGAGAGGGUGACCGGCCACAUUGGGACUGAGAUACGGCCCAGACGCCUACGGGAGGCAGCAGUGGGGAAUAUUGCACAAUGGGCGCCAGCCUGAUGCAGCAACGCCGCGUGCGGGAUGACGGCCUUCGGGUUGUAAACCGCUUUCAGCAGGGACGAAGCUUUUUGUGACGGUACCUGCAGAAGAAGCACCGGCUAACUACGUG